UGGGGAAUAUUGCACAAUGGGCGCAAGCCUGAUGCAGCCAUGCCGCGUGUAUGAAGAAGGCCUUCGGGUUGUAAAGUACUUUCAGCGGGGAGGAAGGUGUUGUGGUUAAUAACCACAGCAAUUGACGUUACCCGCAGAAGAAGCACCGGCUAACUCCGUGCCAGCAGCCGCGGUAAUACGGAGGGUGCACGCGUUAAUCGGAAUUACUGGGCGUAAAGCGCACGCAGGCGGUCUGUCAAGUCGGAUGUGAAAUCCCCGGGCUCAACCUGGGAACUGCAUCCGAAACUGGCAGGCUUGAGUCUUGUAGAGGGGGGUAGAAUUCCAGGUGUAGCGGUGAAAUGCGUAGAGAUCUGGAGGAAUACCGGUGGCGAAGGCGGCCCCCUGGACAAAGACUGACGCUCAGGUGCGAAAGCGUGGGGAGCAAACA
Molecule: ribosomal RNA, 427 nt
Filed under: uncultured bacterium
Lineage: Bacteria
Description: partial 16S ribosomal RNA
Rfam family: Bacterial small subunit ribosomal RNA
Source: RNAcentral